RNAcentral lists this ribosomal RNA (465 nucleotides) under uncultured bacterium. RNAcentral describes it as "SSU rRNA". It matches the Rfam family "Bacterial small subunit ribosomal RNA", at positions 26 to 518 of the family's 1533-position model. The record is from RNAcentral.
AGGACGAACGCUUGCGACGUGCCUAAGAAAUGCAAGUCGAGCGAGGUAGCAAUACCUAGCGGCGAACGGUCGCGUAACACGUAAGCAACCUGCCUCAAAGACCGGGACAACGUUUCGAAAGGGGCGCUAAUACCGGAUGUGCCCAUAGGGAGUCAUCUCCUUGUGAGUAAAUCGAGCAAUCGGCUUUGAGAGGGGCUUGCGGCCUAUCAGCUAGAUGGUGGGGUAACGGCCUACCAUGGCUUCGACGGGUAGCUGGUCUGAGAGGAUGGUCAGCCGGAUUGGGACUGAGAUACGGCCCAGACUCCUACGGGGGCAGCAAUUAGGAAUCUUGCGCAAUGGGCGAAAGCCUGACGCAGCGACGUCGCGUGGGGGAGGAAGGCUUUCGGGUUGUAAACCCCUUUAUCGAGGAAGAACAAUGACGGUACUCGAUGAAUAAGCCCCGGCUAACUCCGUGCCAGCAGCCGC